CUAAUGUGGUGUAUGUCUCAGCAAAAGCAGGUCAUGUAACAAGUGCUGAUACUUUUGGUUUGAGUGA
Molecule: small nucleolar RNA, 67 nt
Organism: Peromyscus eremicus (cactus mouse)
Lineage: Eukaryota; Metazoa; Chordata; Mammalia; Rodentia; Cricetidae
Product: small nucleolar RNA SNORD56
Exons: 1
Source: RefSeq, a predicted model, not a curated record